This 407-nucleotide ribosomal RNA is filed under the name uncultured bacterium. RNAcentral's name for it is "partial 16S ribosomal RNA". It matches the Rfam family "Bacterial small subunit ribosomal RNA", at positions 30 to 526 of the family's 1533-position model. The record is from RNAcentral.
AUUGAACGCUAGCGGGAUGCCUUAUACAUGCAAGUCGAACGGAGUGGCGAACGGGUGAGUAAUGUAUCGGAACGUGCCCAGUAGCGGGGUAUAACUACGCGAAAGCGUAGCUAAUACCGCAUACUAUUGGAGCGGCCGCUGUGGGAUUAGCUAGUUGGUGGGGUAACGGCUCACCAAGGCGACGAUCCGUAGGUGGUUUGAGAGGACGACCAGCCACACUGGGACGGAGACACGGCCCAGACUCCUACGGGAGGCAGCAGUGGGGAAUGUUGGGCAAGGGGGGAAACCCUGAGCCAGCAAUCCCGCGUGAGCGAUGAAGGCCUUCGGAUUGUAAAGCACUUUUGGCAGGGAAGCGGUACCUACAGAGUAAGCACCGGCUAACUACGUGCCAGCAGCCGCGGUAAUAC